RNAcentral lists this ribosomal RNA (579 nucleotides) under Chelonibia testudinaria. RNAcentral describes it as "eukaryotic LSU rRNA". It matches the Rfam family "Eukaryotic large subunit ribosomal RNA", at positions 1018 to 1573 of the family's 3401-position model. The record is from RNAcentral. Lineage: Eukaryota; Metazoa; Arthropoda; Thecostraca; Balanomorpha; Chelonibiidae.
UGAUCAGAGGAGCUGGGCUCCUUGCGAGCUCAACCUAUUCUCAAACUUUCAAUGGGUGAGACGUCUCGCUGGCUUCACUGCAGCGACGACUCUGAAUCCGAGUGCCCAGUGGGCCACUUUUGGUAAGCAGAACUGGCGAUGCGGGAUGAACCGCAUGUCGAGUUAAGGUGCCUAAGCGGACGCAAAUCAGAUACCAUGAAAGGUGUUGAUUGCUCACGACAGCAGGACGGUGGCCAUGGAAGUCGGCAUCCGCUAAGGAGUGUGUAACAACUCACCUGCCGAAGCAAUCAGCCCUGAAAAUGGAUGGCGCUAAAGCGUUCCACCGAUACUCGACCGUCGUCGGCACGCGACCGGCCUUCCCUGUGCCGGUCUCAGGCCACGACGAGUAGGGCGGCGCGGCGGUGAGCGUCGAAGGCGUAGCCGUGAGGCUAGCUGGAGCCGCCGUCGGUGCAGAUCUUGGUGGUAGUAGCAAAUACACAAGCAAGAUCCUUGUGGACCGAUGUGGAGAAGGGUUCCGCGCGAACAGUACUUGGACGUGGGUGAGUCGGCCCUAAGCCAACGGGUAAUUCCCGCAUCCCG